UCUUCCGUAGUAUAGUGGUUCAGUAUGUGAGCUUGUCAUUCUCAGAUUCAUUCUGGAUGCCUUCGCUCGAGACCCGGGUUCAAUUCCCUGCGGGGGAG
This is a non-coding RNA of Cercophora newfieldiana, 98 nucleotides long. Lineage: Eukaryota; Fungi; Ascomycota; Sordariomycetes; Sordariales; Lasiosphaeriaceae. The record is from the annotation of a GenBank genome assembly.